CCUACGGGAGGCAGCAGUGGGGAAUUUUGGACAAUGGGCGCAAGCCUGAUCCAGCAAUGCCGCGUGAGUGAAGAAGGCCUUCGGGUUGUAAAGCUCUUUUGUCAGGGAAGAAACGGUGGAGGCUAAUAUCCUUUGCUAAUGACGGUACCUGAAGAAUAAGCACCGGCUAACUACGUGCCAGCAGCCGCGGUAAUACGUAGGGUGCAAGCGUUAAUCGGAAUUACUGGGCGUAAAGCGUGCGCAGGCGGUUUUGUAAGUUUGUCGUGAAAUCCCCGGGCUCAACCUGGGAAUGGCGAUGAAGACUGCAAGGCUAGAAUCUGGCAGAGGGGGGUAGAAUUCCACGUGUAGCAGUGAAAUGCGUAGAGAUGUGGAGGAACACCGAUGGCGAAGGCAGCCCCCUGGGUCAAGAUUGACGCUCAUGCACGAAAGCGUGGGGAGCAAACAGGAUUAGAUACCCUGGUAGUCCACGCCCUAAACGAUGUCUACUAGUUGUCGGGUUUUAAUUAACUUGGUAACGCAGCUAACGCGUGAAGUAGACCGCCUGGGGAGUACGGUCGCAAGAUUAAAACUCAAAGGAUUGACGG
Molecule: ribosomal RNA, 584 nt
Filed under: uncultured bacterium
Lineage: Bacteria
Description: bacterial SSU rRNA
Rfam family: Bacterial small subunit ribosomal RNA
Source: RNAcentral